CGGCUACUCUGGGAGUGGUUAUAUUUAAAUUUCUCCAUUGCCCUUCAUAAAUUCUCUCGUUUUCACAUGUAAUAGUAAAAUGUAUGAUAUUUCUCCUUCGAUAUAUCUCCCAAAUGACGUAGUGUCGACCGAUAUACUAAUCGAAGGUAUAAAAGACGGCUUAAUUUUUCACCUAAUUCAUUCCAAUUUCAUUCUCCAGCUGAACAGUGACGGAGUUAUCAAUACUUUCAGCUCAAAACAUUACAUCAAAAUGAUGCAUUUACAUAUUGCAACAAUAUUCUUGGUAGCAUGUACGAUUUCAUGCAUCACUGCUGACUGUUACAUAGACAAUGGUUGUCCAAAUACAAAAACGAAGAAAAAAGAAUAUAGAAUCGGGCAAAGAUGGAGACCAAACUCAGAUCCAUGUUAUACAUGUAAAUGUGUAAAAUCAAAAGAAUAUGUGUUAGCAUGCCUUGAAGCCAUAAAUCAGAAACCGAAACUGUCGUUUAAAAAAAGUGAAUUGAUUGCAACUUUUGAAUCAACGAUAAGAUACGCUGCGGAUGAAGAAAUGGAAAUAAAUGAAAGAGAAGUUAAAACGAAACAAUGCAGUCCAAUUCAAGCACCAGUCUACAACUUGUCUACCAGCAAGUUUGAAUCAAUUACAUACAAAACAGUUUAUUAUUUCUACACAAGAAAAGAAUCAAGAUGUUGCAGUCGGUUAGUGCUAUUCGUAUAUUUAAGAUAACAACCAUGUUGAUUAUUGUACACUAUACUUCCUCUUCUGACAACUCCAUGAAACAAGGUACUUGCCACAAAGCGAAGCUGCUGAAUUUGAUUUUCGUAUUUCACUAACGUUCACGCGUCCUGUAAAGUCGUUAAAAUCGGCAGGUGUAGGUCAAAACUUGUCAAAAAGGAAAAUCCAAAAGAAAGAUGCAACAUGCCAAUGACAUUGAUUGGCUGAGGCGAUUCUUGAUUUUCAAUCACCAUCAACUACCAAAUUCAACGAGGCAAUAUACAUUUAGCUGUCAUAAUCACUGCCAGAAUCUUCGUAUUAUUUCAUGUCUAAUAACAAAUUACUGGUGAAUGUGUCUUAUGUUCCAAGAAAAGUGGACAAAAAUGUUGACACUUUUUCAUCUGUCGGGCAUGUUUUCGCACGCAAUAAGUAUAUUUCUAUAUCUUUUCAAGUUUAUGCAACAGUGCUAUUCUUUGUUCUUCUUUAUUAUUUUGUGUUACUAUUAUAGCCUGUUUUUUUUUUUGGUUUGGUGUUUAGGUAGGCCUACUUGAAACUGUUUCAAAUGUGCCUCAAUCGCUAAUUAGGAGAUUAGGUUUUUGUAAGAUUUUUUUUUUGUGGUAACUAUUUUGUCUGAACGCCGAGAAUAUACGAAACAUCCUGCAAAAAGUAAUGUUCAUGUGUACUUGAAAGAAAAAAAACGUUUGAGCAAAUUAAAGCUAAUAAAGAUAUAUCUGCUUGUUAGCGUGACUAUUCUACUUUGGUGUUAAUAAACAAUAUAUUCACCAACACGGAUAUUCUGUUAGUAAUAAAGGAAUAUUUGUUUUAUGGUCCCUUAGGACAUUUAAAUGCUAUGGUAGUCUAGUGAAAAAAUAUUUUAUUAUAAAUUGUCUCAUCGCAUCAAAUAUAUUUUUGAACUUGUA
This is an RNA transcript of Styela clava, 1632 nucleotides long. RefSeq lists it as uncharacterized. The record is from RefSeq and is a predicted model, not a curated record. NCBI's taxonomy places the organism in Eukaryota, Metazoa, Chordata, Ascidiacea, Stolidobranchia, Styelidae.